Molecule: ribosomal RNA, 714 nt
Filed under: uncultured Lachnospiraceae bacterium
Lineage: Bacteria; Bacillati; Bacillota; Clostridia; Lachnospirales; Lachnospiraceae
Description: bacterial SSU rRNA
Rfam family: Bacterial small subunit ribosomal RNA
Source: RNAcentral
GAUGAACGCUGGCGGCGUGCUUAACACAUGCAAGUCGAACGAAGCUGCUUAACUGAUCUUCUUCGGAAUUGACGUUUUGUAGACUGAGUGGCGGACGGGUGAGUAACGCGUGGGUAACCUGCCCUGUACAGGGGGAUAACAGUCAGAAAUGACUGCUAAUACCGCAUAAGACCACAGCACCGCAUGGUGCAGGGGUAAAAACUCCGGUGGUACAGGAUGGACCCGCGUCUGAUUAGCUGGUUGGUGAGGUAACGGCUCACCAAGGCGACGAUCAGUAGCCGGCUUGAGAGAGUGAACGGCCACAUUGGGACUGAGACACGGCCCAAACUCCUACGGGAGGCAGCAGUGGGGAAUAUUGCACAAUGGGGGGAACCCUGAUGCAGCGACGCCGCGUGAGUGAAGAAGUAUCUCGGUAUGUAAAGCUCUAUCAGCAGGGAAGAAAAUGACGGUACCUGACUAAGAAGCCCCGGCUAACUACGUGCCAGCAGCCGCGGUAAUACGUAGGGGGCAAGCGUUAUCCGGAAUUACUGGGUGUAAAGGGUGCGUAGGUGGUAUGGCAAGUCAGAAGUGAAAACCCAGGGCUUAACUCUGGGACUGCUUUUGAAACUGUCAGACUGGAGUGCAGGAGAGGUAAGCGGAAUUCCUAGUGUAGCGGUGAAAUGCGUAGAUAUUAGGAGGAACAUCAGUGGCGAAGGCGGCUUACUGGACUGAAAC